RNAcentral lists this transfer RNA (108 nucleotides) under Botrytis cinerea. RNAcentral describes it as "tRNA-Gly". It matches the Rfam family "tRNA". Rfam says of the family: Transfer RNA (tRNA) molecules are approximately 80 nucleotides in length. Their secondary structure includes four short double-helical elements and three loops (D, anti-codon, and T loops). Lineage: Eukaryota; Fungi; Ascomycota; Leotiomycetes; Helotiales; Sclerotiniaceae. The record is from RNAcentral. RNAcentral also lists the same sequence under 2 other names.
GCGUUUGUGGUUUAGUGGUAAAAUCCAUCGUUGCCAUCUAUCUCUCUUCUUCACAAGAGAGUGCGAAACAACCUCGAUGGGCCCCGGGUUCGAUUCCCGGCGAACGCA